RNAcentral lists this long non-coding RNA (561 nucleotides) under Lupinus angustifolius (narrow-leaved blue lupine). RNAcentral's name for it is "long non-coding RNA (LANG_LNC001176)". Lineage: Eukaryota; Viridiplantae; Streptophyta; Magnoliopsida; Fabales; Fabaceae. The record is from RNAcentral.
AGAUCUUCGUUGCACCGGUGAGGGUGACCUUCGCCGUCUUAUAGGCGGUGGUGAUCGACGGCGACGCAGUGGAGAAGGUGAUCUGUGUCGACGCAGUGGAGAAGGUGAUCUGUGUCGACGUGCUGGAGAAGGUGAUCUGUGUCGACGCAGUGGAGAAGGUGAUCUGUGUCGACGCAGUGGAGAAGGUGAUCUGUGUCGACGUGCUGGAGAAGGUGAUCUGCGUCGACUUGCUGGAGAAGGUGAUCUGCGUCGACGUGCUGGAGAAGGUGAUCUGCGUCGACGUGCUGGAGAAGGUGAUCUGCGUCGACGUGCUGGAGAAGGUGAUCUGCGUCGACGUGCUGGAGAAGGUGAUCUGCGUCGACGUGCUGGAGAAGGUGAUCUGUGACGGCGUGCUGGAGAAGGUGAUCUGUGACGACGUGCGGGAGAAGGUGAUCUGUGUCGACGUGCUGGAGAAGGUGAUCGUGUUGGGGAAGGUGAUCUACAUCUUUUAAUAGGAGAGGGUGUUCUGCGUCGACGAAAAGGUGAACUGUGGCGAUAUGGAGAGUGCAUUCUACGUCGAAU